CAGUAGCCGCGGGAAAACGAAGGGUGCAAGCGUUAAUCGGAUUUACUGGGCGUAAAGGGCGCGUAGGUGGUUAUUUAAGUGAGAUGUGAAAGCCCCGGGCUUAACCUGGGAACUGCAUCUUAUACUGGGUAACUGGAGUGCAGUAGAGGGUAGUGGAAUUUCCGGUGUAGCGGUGAAAUGCGUAGAUAUCGGAAGGAACACCAGUGGCGAAGGCGGCUACCUGGACUGAGACUGACACUGAGGCGCGAGAGCGUGGGGAGCAAACAGGAUUAGAUACCCCUGUAGUCCCUGUCUCUUAUAC
RNAcentral lists this ribosomal RNA (301 nucleotides) under uncultured bacterium. Its description in RNAcentral is "partial 16S ribosomal RNA". It matches the Rfam family "Bacterial small subunit ribosomal RNA", at positions 509 to 807 of the family's 1533-position model. The record is from RNAcentral.